This 252-nucleotide ribosomal RNA is filed under the name uncultured bacterium. Its description in RNAcentral is "partial 16S ribosomal RNA". It matches the Rfam family "Bacterial small subunit ribosomal RNA", at positions 524 to 776 of the family's 1533-position model. The record is from RNAcentral.
UACGGAGGAUGCGAGCGUUAUCCGGAUUUAUUGGGUUUAAAGGGUGCGUAGGCGGAUCGUUAAGUCAGUGGUCAAAUUGAGGGGCUCAACCCCUUCCCGCCAUUGAAACUGGCGAUCUUGAGUGGAAGAGAAGUAUGCGGAAUGCGUGGUGUAGCGGUGAAAUGCAUAGAUAUCACGCAGAACCCCGAUUGCGAAGGCGGCAUGCCGGCUUCCUACUGACGCUGAAGCACGAAAGCGUGGGGAUCGAACAGG